Molecule: long non-coding RNA, 681 nt
Organism: Stegostoma tigrinum
Lineage: Eukaryota; Metazoa; Chordata; Chondrichthyes; Orectolobiformes; Stegostomatidae
Exons: 3
Source: RefSeq, a predicted model, not a curated record
ACUCGAGCUUGUGCUUUGUUAUCGAGACUCGAUACACCCGGUGGCUGGUUUAUGCUGGAAUCCUGCCGCUAUCUGAUCCGUUCCUGUCCGUCUCUAGGGUGGCGCAAACUUUGGAAGCAUCAACACCACAAAAAGUUAGACCACCAAUAUUUGAAAGCACCUGAAACGCGCGCAGUUUCUUUCGCCAGAGCGAGAACCAACAUAGGUCUCUUCCUCGAUGGCACCUGCAGCCUUAAUUUUUAAGCUCAAGACCUGCAACAGGAUUUGCAAAAACAACCCUUGUGAUUCAGAGGCAUCAGUGCUACCAGCCUACAGCAAAUGGACUGCAGUGAUUCAAGAAGGAAGAUCACCACCACCUUCUCAAGGGCAACUAAGGACAGGAAAUAAAUAUUGGCCACCCAGAAACUGCCACGUCCCACAUGAAUUAAAAAAAAUACAUUCAUCCUCCAUCAUACCGAUGUCUUUUUGGAUCAAGAAGCAUGUAGACACGAAUCCAUUUCUGGAACUUGUAUUAACAAUGUGUUUUUGACAAGUGAUGAAACAUCUUGAAAUACUGAUGUUGCUUGAACUAGCUAUUCGAUUGACGUCAGUGCUGUACAACAGUUGACGAAGUUAUGAGUGAAUUUCGAUUACAUUGCUUUUAUAGAUGUCUGAGUCUUUCUGCAUAUAAACAAUUUAUUA